Molecule: unclassified non-coding RNA, 2171 nt
Filed under: Leishmania donovani
Lineage: Eukaryota; Euglenozoa; Kinetoplastea; Trypanosomatida; Trypanosomatidae
Description: gene:LdHU3.24.2320(CDS-product:short_chain_dehydr ogenase/reductase_putative)
Source: RNAcentral
CACACAUCGCCGCAAAGCCAUCCAGAGCACUGCCAAGGAGAGGCAGCAUCGAAAGGAAGCAGGACGAGUUGAGGAGGUGCGACUGCAUACCCUCUGCACCGGCACAGCGACAGGCAUACAGACGAUUCCAUGUUUCACUUCGGUCUUAGAGGCCGCCUUGUGGCGAUGUCGGCAGCCUCGGUCGCUGCCCCGUUAAACAUCACGGCGCGCCGUCUGCUCUUCUCUUCCGGCAAUGCGUCUUCAUCAUCAGCGGCCUCGGUGACUGGCACACGUAGGUCCUCCGCAGGCGCCGCACGCGCACCUCUCUCUUCCUCAUUCACGUCCGCUCCGUCAGCAGGAAGGCACAAGGCCGUCAAGUCAAUGUUGCCGCCGGCAGCAUCAGCAGCAGCAGACAGCAUCCACAAGUUCAGCGACGACAAGGCAGAAGCCUCCGCGUACGUUUGCGGCGCUGACGACGUUCCUUCGUACUCCAGUGCUUCGCACAUGAGCUACCUCAUGCUGCACAGCCGCCGCCUCUGGCUGCCUCUGGUGCUCUACGCCUGCUACUACGCACUGUCGGCGUACCUCAACCCAGUGCAGGCGGGUCUUUACGCGACGGCCAGUGUUGUGGUGCAGCGACUAAGCGUACACGGACGCAGAAACAAGGUUCACAAGGACAUGACCGGCUACACGUGCGUCGUGACAGGCGGCACGAGCGGCAUUGGCCUCUACACGGCGAUGCAACUGCUGGAUAUGGGCGCCCACGUCAUAAUCGCUGCGCCUUCAGGAAAGGAGAAGGAGACGAUGGAUUUCCUACAGCGAAACUGCCUCGUUGGUGCGCCGGCUGCAACCGCGACGGUCGCGUCCUCCUCCGCUUCACCUGAGUGUGAGCCUCUCGAGAACCGCGUCACCUUCAUCGCCAUGGACUACAUGGACCAGCUGGAGGUGAUGGCAGCUGCCGCGCGCAUCAAGGCCCUCACGCACGACCGCAUCGACCUCCUCGUGAACUGCGCGGGUGUGUGGAAGGAGGAGCCGACCGUGACGAAGCAGAAGUUUGAGGAGCACAUCGGCGUCAACUUCCUCGGGCCGUUCCACUUCACCGAGGCGCUGCUCCCGUCCCUGCGCAAGUCAUCGCAUAGGUGCGGCCGCAUCGUGUACGUCACGUGCGCCUCACACAACGGCGUCUCCAGAGGGAACGUGGUGCGUGAGCGCAUGAUGCUGCUGCCGGGGCCGAACGAGUUGCAGAUCACCGCGCGUUGCUACAGUGCGUCGAAGCUCGGCAACAUUUACCAUGCUCAGUCCAUUGCGAACCGCCGCUAUGAAGGCAUCCCGCUGAACCGCCAGAGCGAUCUGCACCCCGUCGAUGUAUGCUGCGCCGACCCGGGCUUCUGCUUCACCUCACUGCAGCAAGCAAAUGUGAACCCGUUUCUCGGCAACAGCAUCGUCGCCCGCACGCUUCGGUCUCUGUGGAUCAAGGAUGCGUACGAGGGUAGCCAAACUGUUGUGAACUGCUGCGUACGCGACACGAUCGAGAACGGCGGCUACUACGCCGAGUGUGCGCUGAUGCCAAGUGGGCUCAGCAAGCGCGCGAAAGACCCAAAGAGCCGCGACGAUGUAGUGCACUGGGCUAUGGCGAAGACGAUUGCCAAGUACUACACGGUACAACCGGAGUAAGAGUCACCCAUCGAUGGAUGCGUUGGAGUACGGGGGGGGGGUCAGUGCGUAUGUCCAUGUGUACGUGUUAUUUUGGUUCUCGUGGCGUGCUGAUGGACUUCAAGGUAAAGUGGGUGAGGGUUGAUCAGGGGGCGGUUGUCGCCAGAGCGUCUUUGUACGAGUGGCUAAGUAGCACAACAAGAGCAGUAACACGAAGAAGAUGGUCAAAUGCUAGAUCCGCAGCGCUGGGCAUGAGGAGGGGGAAAAAGGAGGCGGCGGGGCAAGUGCUGUGCACCAAUUCCGCCUCGCUCUGCGUACGCGUGCCCGCACGCGUGUGAGAGCACACAUACUCACCUCAAGGAAGGAGUAGUGAAUGUGGGCGCGCCUCGCUGCGCCCUCCCCCUCCCCCCUCGCACCCGCAUCUACCAUCUCCUGUGCUCGUGUGUGUGGAGGAGGGGGGAGGAGGGCGUAUGUGCGUGUAUAUCCUCUACGUUGCUCCCUAGGUGUCUCCUCUCUUCCUGAAACUCUUGCGUGGAUAG